GUGGGGAAUAUUGGGCAAUGGGGGAAACCCUGACCCAGCAACGCCGCGUGAAGGACGAAGGCCUUCGGGUUGUAAACUUCUUUGAUCAGGGACGAAACAAAUGACGGUACCUGAGGAACAAGCCACGGCUAACUACGUGCCAGCAGCCGCGGUAAUACGUAGGUGGCAAGCGUUAUCCGGAUUUACUGGGUGUAAAGGGCGUGUAGGCGGUCUUGCAAGUCGGAAGUGAAAUUCCCGGGCUUAACCCGGGCGCUGAUCCCGAAACUGCGAGACUUGAGUACUGGAGAGGAUAGUGGAAUUCCUAGUGUAGCGGUAAAAUGCGUAGAUAUUAGGAGGAACACCAGUGGCGAAGGCGGCUAUCUGGACAGUAACUGACGCUGAGGCGCGAAAGCGUGGGGAGCAAACAGGAUUAGAUACCCCUGUAGUCC
This 428-nucleotide ribosomal RNA is filed under the name uncultured bacterium. RNAcentral describes it as "partial 16S ribosomal RNA". It matches the Rfam family "Bacterial small subunit ribosomal RNA", at positions 354 to 796 of the family's 1533-position model. The record is from RNAcentral.